Molecule: long non-coding RNA, 652 nt
Filed under: Salmo salar (Atlantic salmon)
Lineage: Eukaryota; Metazoa; Chordata; Actinopteri; Salmoniformes; Salmonidae
Description: lncRNA (ENSSSAG00000097491.1, ENSSSAG00000098048.1)
Source: RNAcentral
GUAAGAAUCAAACAACUUGCUUUGUGUUCUCAAAAAUAGAAGUACUGUACAUUAGCUGAACUUUUUAAUAAUUUUGUUAGGGACAUUGCUGACAGAUUUUGGAACUAGGAGUAGAAAUGAGUUAUACAGAUCACUAUCAUAAGUUGCAUCAAUCAUUAACUUGUAAUAUUCACAAAUCAUAUUUACACAAAUGAAAUACAAGACUAUGAAAACAUUACAUUACUUAGGGGGAUUCCAUGGUAACAGAGUGAUGGUGUGCUGGAGUCAGAGCAGUUCCCCAGCAGCUGCAACCCACUCCAUAAUCAAGACCUCUACAAAUACUCAGUCCUGCCACUUCCACUCUACCAGAUCGUAAUCUCUGUUCAGUCAGUAUACGGGUCUAGCUAGUUGUUGUUAUUUAAGAUCCUGUAUCCUGCUGUGCCUAUUACCUUGCCUGACGCUGUUUCUACUCUCACUGCAGUUUUGCCUCUCUGACUCUGGUUCCUGUCUCCUGUUCCACAUCUCACCACCCUGCUACCCUGUUCUGGACUCACCACACCACCACUCCCUUGGAUUCCCCUCCGGACCUGUUUACCCUGUCCCAACCCAGCUCACUCCAACCUCAGCCUCCACAUCUGGUUUCCUACAACUCUUCAGAGCUUCCCUGGAUCUG